RNAcentral lists this unclassified non-coding RNA (948 nucleotides) under Homo sapiens (human). RNAcentral describes it as "decapping mRNA 1B (ENSG00000284850.2)". The record is from RNAcentral. Lineage: Eukaryota; Metazoa; Chordata; Mammalia; Primates; Hominidae.
CAAGAGCCCCGUGCCUAUGUCUGGGAGGGAGGGAAGAUGGCAGCCGUGGCGGCAGGCGGCCUGGUGGGAAAGGGGCGCGACAUCAGCCUAGCGGCCCUGCAGCGCCACGACCCCUAUAUCAACCGCAUCGUGGACGUGGCCAGCCAGGUGGCUCUGUACACCUUCGGCCAUCGGGCCAACGAGUGGGUGCGUGCGGACGCGGCGGAGCAGUGCAGCCCAGGGUUGGGGUGGAGGCGGGGGGCGUCAGACUCAGGACUUGAGGACCCGGAGAAAACUGAUGUGGAAGGAACCUUAUUUGUUUAUACAAGGUCUGCUUCUCCAAAGCAUGGAUUCACCAUUAUGAAUAGGCUGAGCAUGGAAAAUAGGACAGAACCUAUUACUAAAGACUUGGAUUUCCAACUCCAGGACCCUUUCCUUCUCUACAGAAAUGCCAGAUACCUUAGACCCUGAACCCCAACACUUAUCCUUGACAGCUCUGUUUGGGAAGCAGGACAAAGCUACAUGUCAGGAAACUGUGGAGCCUCCGCAGACUCUCCACCAGCAGCAGCAGCAGCAGCAGCAGCAGCAAGAGAAGCUUCCAAUUAGGCAGGGGGUUGUACGCUCCCUGUCCUAUGAGGAACCCAGAAGACACUCACCCCCCAUUGAGAAGCAGCUCUGUCCAGCCAUUCAGAAACUCAUGGUCAGGAGCGCAGACCUCCACCCAUUGUCAGAGCUGCCUGAAAACCGGCCUUGUGAAAAUGGCAGUACCCAUUCUGCGGGAGAAUUUUUUACAGGACCUGUCCAGCCAGGGUCUCCUCACAACAUUGGAACUUCUCGUGGUGUACAAAAUGCUUCCAGAACUCAGAACCUGUUCGAGAAACUUCAGAGUACCCCAGGGGCAGCAAACAAGUGUGACCCUAGUACACCAGCACCUGCCAGCUCAGCUGCCCUGAACCGCAGCAGAGCUCC